GCUGGCGCGGAGCAGCGAGGCGCAGGCGGCAGAGCGCUUAGAUGCGGCGGGGCCAGGGCGCGGCGCUGCUGGGGCUGACGGCGGUGCUGCUGCUGGCAGCUGCAGCCAGAGCCCAGGUGCAACAGGAGCCGUCAGCAGACACCACCGAGGGCAGCGGCAUCUCCGUCACCUGCUCACACCCCAACAUCCAGUCCCACCAGAUAAUUUACUGGUACCGGCAGCUCCCGAGACAGGGUCCCACCUUCCUCGCUGGAGCUCUCCAGGGCUCGCAGGAGCUGCGGUCCCCGGCCGGGCGGCUGUCGGUGGCGGCAGACCGCCGCUCCAGCACCCUGUGGCUUGCCCGGCCCCGGCUCAGGGACGCGGCGGUGUAUUCCUGCGCCCUGGGGGACACGGGGAGAGAAGCCGGGGCUGCGUCCGGGCACGAACUGCCGCGAGUGUGCCAGGGCCGUGGGGACAGUCCCGGGCGGGCCCGCCAGGGGCUGCUGCCGAUCCCCCAAAGCGAGCGCCCUUGGCCCCGGCAGCAUCACUGCAUCGGCUGGAUGCAGCCAGCAGGGGCUGCAAGUUCCGCUGCGAGGAAAACACCAGCAGGUGCUGGCAGGUAGAAGCCUUCAGAUGCAGGAGUCCAUGGAGUCACCAUGGUUGGAAGAGGCCUCUGAGGUCAUCAAGUCUGCCCACGAGCUAACUCUGCCAGGGCCACUCCUGCACCAUGGCCUUGAGCACCAUGUCCAGAUGGCUUUCCAGUACAUCCAAGAAUGGUGAUUCAACUGCUUCCCUGGGCAGCCUGUGCCAGACUUUGAGAGCCCUUUCAGUACAGGACUUUUUCUGGUGUCCAACCUAUGUCUUCCCUGGUGUAAACUGAGGCCAUUUCCUCUUGUCUUAUCAGUUGUGACUUGUCAGAA
This is a non-coding RNA of Pogoniulus pusillus (Red-fronted tinkerbird), 899 nucleotides long. NCBI's taxonomy places the organism in Eukaryota, Metazoa, Chordata, Aves, Piciformes, Lybiidae. The record is from the annotation of a RefSeq genome assembly.